RNAcentral lists this ribosomal RNA (362 nucleotides) under Eleutherodactylus amadeus (Haitian robber frog). RNAcentral's name for it is "partial 12S ribosomal RNA". It matches the Rfam family "Bacterial small subunit ribosomal RNA", at positions 871 to 1384 of the family's 1533-position model. Lineage: Eukaryota; Metazoa; Chordata; Amphibia; Anura; Eleutherodactylidae. The record is from RNAcentral.
GUCAGGGAAUUACGAGCAAAGCUUAAAACCCAAAGGACUUGACGGUACCCCAUAUCCCCCUAGAGGAGCCUGUCCUAUAAUCGAUAAUCCCCGUUCAACCUCACCAUAUCUGGCUUUUUCAGCCUGUAUACUUCCGUCGUCAGCCUACCACGUGAGCGAUGCUUAGUUAGCCUAAUGUCCGCACAUUUAUGUGCUUAUAUCGUCAAUACGUCAGGUCAAAGUGCAGCAAAUGUUAUGGGAAGAGAUGGGCUACACUUUUUAACAUAAAAGAAACGAAAAACAAAAUGAAACUUUGUCAUGAAGGUGGAUUUAGAAGUAAAAGAAAAACAUUAAGUUCCUUUUAACUCGGCACUGGGGUGUGU